CUUGAACGCUGGCGGCAGGCCUAACACAUGCAAGUCGAACGAGUGGCGGACGGGUGAGUCAUGUCUGGGAAACUGCCUGCUUGAGGGGGCUAACUAAUGGAAACGGUAGCUAAUACCGCAUACCAUCAGAUGUGCCCAGAUGGGAUUAGCUAGUUGGGGGGGUAACGGCUCACCAAGUCGCCGAUCCCUAGCUGGUCUGACAGGAGGAUCGGCCAAACGUGAACUGAGACACGGGCCAGACUCCUACGGGAGGCAGCAGUGGGGAAGAUUGCACAAGGGGCGCAAGCCUGAUGCAGCCAUGCCGCGUGUAUGACGAAGGCCUUCGGGUUGGAAAGUACUUUCAGCGGGGAGGCGUUACCCGCAGAAGAAGCACCGGCUAACUCCGUGCCAGCAGCCGCGGUAAUUC
Molecule: ribosomal RNA, 406 nt
Filed under: uncultured bacterium
Lineage: Bacteria
Description: partial 16S ribosomal RNA
Rfam family: Bacterial small subunit ribosomal RNA
Source: RNAcentral